Molecule: long non-coding RNA, 448 nt
Organism: Cornus florida
Lineage: Eukaryota; Viridiplantae; Streptophyta; Magnoliopsida; Cornales; Cornaceae
Exons: 3
Source: RefSeq, a predicted model, not a curated record
CAGCCUCCCCAAUCGCCUCUAUCUCUAUUCUCGUUCUCGACUCUGAACUUGCCCUCUCUCUCCGUGCAACUGCAAACUACAAAAUCUACAAGAACCAGCAGUUCAAAACAUAUAUAUUUCAGUUUAUCUAUCUGUCUGCAAGAAUCAAAACCCAUAUCGGCAUAUCAUUUCAGAUUGUUCAAAAAAUCAAAACCCAUAUCUUUCAGUUUCCAUCGCCCGCUGUUCCAGUUCGGGUUCGCCGUUCGCAAGCUUCAGCCGCUGGCCCGCUGUCUCUCAACUCUCAAGCUUGCCCCCCUCUCUCUCUGCAACUGCUAACUCGUUUGGUUAGGAUCGGGCCUUAACAUUUAGCAAGAACAAGGGUCAAGAAACAUGCCUCUUCAGUCAUCAGGUUCUUUUCUGAAAGAAGAUAGUUGAUUAGGAAUGGGUGGAGUAGGGAAAAAGAAAAUAG